AGUAACGCGUGAGGAACCUGCCUUUCGGAGGGGGACAACAGUUGGAAACGACUGCUAAUACCGCAUGAUACAUCGAAGCCGCAUGGCUUUGAUGUCAAAGAUUUAUCGCCGAAAGAUGGCCUCGCGUCUGAUUAGCUUGUUGGUGAGGUAACGGCUCACCAAGGCGACGAUCAGUAGCCGGACUGAGAGGUUGGCCGGCCACAUUGGGACUGAGAUACGGCCCAGACUCCUACGGGAGGCAGCAG
RNAcentral lists this ribosomal RNA (245 nucleotides) under uncultured bacterium. Its description in RNAcentral is "partial 16S ribosomal RNA". It matches the Rfam family "Bacterial small subunit ribosomal RNA", at positions 109 to 354 of the family's 1533-position model. The record is from RNAcentral.